GAGGGUAUAGCUCAGUGGCAGAGCAUUUGUUAAGCAUGCACAAGGUCCUGGGUUCAAGCCCCAGUACCUCCA
This 72-nucleotide transfer RNA is filed under the name Camelus bactrianus (Bactrian camel). It matches the Rfam family "tRNA". From Rfam's summary of the family: Transfer RNA (tRNA) molecules are approximately 80 nucleotides in length. Their secondary structure includes four short double-helical elements and three loops (D, anti-codon, and T loops). Lineage: Eukaryota; Metazoa; Chordata; Mammalia; Artiodactyla; Camelidae. RNAcentral also lists the same sequence under 2 other names. The record is from Rfam by way of RNAcentral.